This 207-nucleotide ribosomal RNA is filed under the name uncultured Glomus. RNAcentral's name for it is "partial 18S ribosomal RNA". It matches the Rfam family "Eukaryotic small subunit ribosomal RNA", at positions 569 to 779 of the family's 1831-position model. The record is from RNAcentral. Lineage: Eukaryota; Fungi; Glomeromycota; Glomeromycetes; Glomerales; Glomeraceae.
AGCAGCCGCGGUAAUUCCAGCUCCAAUAGCGUAUAUUAAGGUUGUUGCAGUUAAAAAGCUCGUAGUUGAAUUUCGGGAUCAAUAUGUCGGUCGUGCCUUCGGUACGUACUGGCAUCAUUGAUUUCUCCCUUCUGACGAACCAUGAUGUCAUUAAUUUGGUGUUAUGGGGAGUCAGGACUGUUACUUUGAAAAAUUAGAGUGUACGUA